Molecule: long non-coding RNA, 490 nt
Organism: Oxyura jamaicensis (ruddy duck)
Lineage: Eukaryota; Metazoa; Chordata; Aves; Anseriformes; Anatidae
Exons: 5
Source: RefSeq, a predicted model, not a curated record
AGGUACACCUCUGGUCAUCUCUGCUGGGGGAAGAUGGAGGGGGUUAGCAGAAUUUGAAUAUGGAAGAGCAGAGCGCUUCAAUGGUGGAGGAAGUCAACUGUUCUGAUCAUCUUAUGUCAUUUGUCGAUAGUAUAACAUGUCACGUGGCAGUGCUGACCUGUGUAAAAUUUCACUGAGUCGUGUAUCUUCUUUUCUGGAGCUCACUCUGUAAAAUAGGUAUCCCACUAAAAGAACCUGCUCUGAAGAGUUCCUUCACUGUGCAGUCUUUCAGGACCAAGUGUUGUGGACUUGAUACCAUUUUGUUAAUUUCAUCAGUGGUGGGAUUCAUGGUGACCACAAAGAGUUUGUAUCAUGCUUCUCAGCCUUCUUCAGAAUCAAAUGGUGGCCUUAGCUGGGAGAAGAUGGUGCACAUUGGAGUGGACUAUUGACUCCAUUGCAUCCAUAUGCACUCUUCUACUCUGCUUCCCAGAUGAGGACGGAGAGAAAGAAA